UAAUACGGAGGGCGCAAGCGUUGUUCGGAAUCAUUGGGCGUAAAGCGGGUGCAGGCGGUGAAGUCAGUCGGAUGUGAAAUCCCAGGGCCCAACCCUGGAACUGCAUUCGAAACUGCUUCACUAGAGUCCCGGAGGGGAAGGCGGAAUUCCCGGUGUAGAGGUGAAAUUCGUAGAUAUCGGGAGGAACACCAGUGGCGAAGGCGGCCUUCUGGACGGUGACUGACGCUCAGACCCGAAAGCGUGGGGAGCAAACAGGAUUAGAUACCCUGGUAGUCCACGCCGUAAACGUUGAGUGCUCGUCGAUGCGGGUAUUGACCCCUGCAUUGACCAAGCUAACGCAUUAAGCACUCCGCCUGGGGAGUACGGUCGCAAGACUA
This 377-nucleotide ribosomal RNA is filed under the name uncultured delta proteobacterium. Its description in RNAcentral is "bacterial SSU rRNA". It matches the Rfam family "Bacterial small subunit ribosomal RNA", at positions 521 to 896 of the family's 1533-position model. Lineage: Bacteria; Deltaproteobacteria. The record is from RNAcentral.